AACGAACGCUGGCGGCGUGCUUAACACAUGCAAGUCGAACGGCAAGGCCCUGCUUUUGUGGGGUGCUCGAGUGGCGAACGGGUGCGUAACACGUGAGUAACCUGACCUUGACUUUGGGGUAACUUCAGGAAGCUGGGGUUACUCCCGGAUCGGAGCUCAUGCUGCAUGGUGGGGGUUGGAACGUUUCGGCGGUUGGGGAUGGACUCGCGGCUUAUCAGCUUGUUGGUGGGGUAGUGGCUUACCAAGGCGUUGACGGGUCGCCGGCCUGAGAGGGUGACCGGCCACAUUGGGACUGAGAUACGGCCCAGACUCCUACGGGAGGCAGCAGUGGGGAAUAUUGCACAAUGGGCGGAAGCCUGAUGCAGCAACGCCGCGUGCGGGAUGACGGCCUUCGGGUUGUAAACCGCUUUCGCCUGUGACGAAGCGUGAGUGACGGUAAUGGGUAAAGAAGCACCGGCUAACUACGUG
RNAcentral lists this ribosomal RNA (468 nucleotides) under uncultured bacterium. RNAcentral describes it as "partial 16S ribosomal RNA". It matches the Rfam family "Bacterial small subunit ribosomal RNA", at positions 28 to 507 of the family's 1533-position model. The record is from RNAcentral.